GUUUAGACAAAAUGGCCACUAGAAGCUUCUAACCCCUCCCCCCCAUAACACCGACUAACUACCUCGUGUAACAAGAUGGCGCUGGAAUCCGGAGAGACCCUUGUGGUUCCAGUGACAUCACCCUUAGUAGGCAGAACAUUAAGAGAACCACUUAACACCUAACCAAUUAAUAAAGUAUUAUUUCAUGUUAUCUCUGACAAUACUUAUGAUGUAAUUUUGCUUUAAAAGUGAUCUGCUGUGCCC
This is a non-coding RNA of Pelobates cultripes (western spadefoot toad), 243 nucleotides long. The record is from the annotation of a GenBank genome assembly. Lineage: Eukaryota; Metazoa; Chordata; Amphibia; Anura; Pelobatidae.